CCUUCAUCCCACUCCAAUAUAGUCUAGAAAAGGAUCAAGUCACCUAGUAUUUGUUCACAUGCCUCCUUCUCAGAGAGGCCUUGCCUAGGGAACCUUUAUGAAAAAGAAGCACCCGUCUUAAGUUAUUUAUUUUCCACUUUAGCUUUCCCUUCCCCAACCUACAACUGCCUAUUUAUUCGUGUUGAAGACAUUGUGACCCUAUUGGACCCGAAUCUCAGAUGUCCUCUCAAACUUGAGACAGCAGGCCCAGUAAUUUCCCCCACCCCACUGAAGUGGAUGGCACCAGUGUGCACCUGGUGGGCCUGCAUGUCCCUGGGAUUACCUUUUAAUCAGGCCAAAACCCUAAAUAGGCCCCACCAUCCA
Molecule: long non-coding RNA, 363 nt
Filed under: Pan troglodytes (chimpanzee)
Lineage: Eukaryota; Metazoa; Chordata; Mammalia; Primates; Hominidae
Description: long non-coding RNA NONPTRT009130
Source: RNAcentral